GGAUUGCCUCAGUAACGGCGAGUGAAGCGGCAAGAGCUCAAAUUUGAAAGCUGGCUCCUUCGGGGUCCGCAUUGUAAUUUGCAGAGGAUGCUUCGGGUGCGGCCCCUGUCUAAGUGCCCUGGAACGGGCCGUCAGAGAGGGUGAGAAUCCCGUCUGGGAUGGGGUGUCCGCGCCCGUGUGAAGCUCCUUCGACGAGUCGAGUUGUUUGGGAAUGCAGCUCUAAAUGGGUGGUAAAUUUCAUCUAAAGCUAAAUACUGGCCGGAGACCGAUAGCGCACAAGUAGAGUGAUCGAAAGAUGAAAAGCACUUUGAAAAGAGAGUUAAAAAGCACGUGAAAUUGUUGAAAGGGAAGCGCUUGCGACCAGACUCGCCUCCAGGGUUCAGCCGGCAUUCGUGCCGGUGUACUUCCCUGGGGGCGGGCCAGCGUCGGUUUGGGCGGCCGGUCAAAGGCUCCCGGAAUGUAGUGCCCUCCGGGGCACCUUAUAGCCGGGAGUGCAAUGCGGCCAGCCUGGACCGAGGAACGCGCUUCGGCACGGACGCUGGCAUAAUGGUCGUAAACGACCCGUCUUGAAACACGGACCAAGGAGUCUAACAUCUACGCGAGUGUUCGGGUGUCAAACCCGUACGCGCAGUGAAAGCGAACGGAGGUGGGAGCCCCCUCGUGGGGCGCACCAUCGACCGAUCCUGAUGUCUUCGGAUGGAUUUGAGUAAGAGCGUAAAUGUGGGGGACCCGAAAGAUGGUGAACUAUGCCUGAAUAGGGCGAAGCCAGGAGGGAAACUCUGGUGGAGGCUCGCAGCGGGUUCUGACGUGCAAAUCGAUCGUCAAAUUUGGGUAUAGGGG
RNAcentral lists this ribosomal RNA (840 nucleotides) under Aspergillus novoparasiticus. RNAcentral's name for it is "partial large subunit ribosomal RNA". It matches the Rfam family "Eukaryotic large subunit ribosomal RNA", at positions 72 to 923 of the family's 3401-position model. Lineage: Eukaryota; Fungi; Ascomycota; Eurotiomycetes; Eurotiales; Aspergillaceae. The record is from RNAcentral.